RNAcentral lists this ribosomal RNA (253 nucleotides) under uncultured bacterium. Its description in RNAcentral is "partial 16S ribosomal RNA". It matches the Rfam family "Bacterial small subunit ribosomal RNA", at positions 524 to 776 of the family's 1533-position model. The record is from RNAcentral.
UACGUAGGUGGCAAGCGUUGUCCGGAUUUACUGGGCGUAAAGGGAGCGUAGGCGGAUAUCUAAGUGGGAUGUGAAAUCCCCGGGCUCAACCCGGGAGCUGCAUUCCAAACUGGAUAUCUAGAGUGCAGGAGAGGAGAGUGGAAUUCCUAGUGUAGCGGUGAAAUGCGUAGAGAUUAGGAAGAACACCAGUGGCGAAGGCGACUCUCUGGACUGUAACUGACGCUGAGGCGCGAAAGCGUGGGGAGCAAACAGG